UGGGCGAAGCCUGAUGCAGCGACGCCGCGUGGGGGAUGACGGCCUUCGGGUUGUAAACCCCUUUCAGUAGGGAAGAAGCGAGAGUGACGGUACCUGCAGAAGAAGCGCCGGCUAACUACGUGCCAGCAGCCGCGGUAAUACGUAGGGCGCAAGCGUUGUCCGGAAUUAUUGGGCGUAAAGAGCUUGUAGGUGGCUUGUCGCGUCUGCCGUGAAAACCCGAGGCUCAACCUCGGGCGUGCGGUGGGUACGGGCAGGCUAGAGUGUGGUAGGGGAGACUGGAACUCCUGGUGUAGCGGUGAAAUGCGCAGAUAUCAGGAAGAACACCGAUGGCGAAGGCAGGUCUCUGGGCCAUUACUGACACUGAGAAGCGAAAGCAUGGGUAGCGAACAGGAUUAGAUACCCUGGUAGUCCAUGCCGUAAACGUUGGGCACUAGGUGUGGGGGACAUUCCACGUUUUCCGCGCCGUAGCUAACGCAUUAAGUGCCCCGCCUGGGGAGUACGGCCGCAAGGCUAAAACUCAAAGGAAUUGACGGGGGCCCGCACAAGCGGCGGAGCAUGCUGAUUAAUUCGAUGCAACGCGAAGAACCUUACCAAGGCUUGACAUGCACUGGACGGCUGCAGAGAUGUGGCUUUCUUUGGACUGGUGCACAGGUGGUGCAUGGUUGUCGUCAGCUCGUGUCGUGAGAUGUUGGGUUAAGUCCCGCAACGAGCGCAACCCUCGUUCUAUGUUGCCAGCACGUGAUGGUGGGGACUCAUAGGAGACUGCCGGGGUCAACUCGGAGGAAGGUGGGGACGACGUCAAAUCAUCAUGCCCCUUA
This 818-nucleotide ribosomal RNA is filed under the name Brachybacterium sp. HDC13. RNAcentral's name for it is "bacterial SSU rRNA". It matches the Rfam family "Bacterial small subunit ribosomal RNA", at positions 372 to 1204 of the family's 1533-position model. The record is from RNAcentral. Lineage: Bacteria; Bacillati; Actinomycetota; Actinomycetes; Micrococcales; Dermabacteraceae.